GACGUAGGGCGCGAGCGUUGUCCGGAUUUAUUGGGCGUAAAGAGCUCGUAGGCGGCUUGUCGCGUCGUCCGUGAAAACCCACGGCUUAACUGUGGGCUUGCGGUCGAUACGGGCAGGCUAGAGUUCGGUAGGGGAGACUGGAAUUCCUGGUGUAGCGGUGAAAUGCGCAGAUAUCAGGAGGAACACCGGUGGCGAAGGCGGUUCUCUGGGCCUUACCUGACGCUGAGGAGCGAAAGCGUGGGGAGCGAACAGG
This 253-nucleotide ribosomal RNA is filed under the name uncultured bacterium. RNAcentral's name for it is "partial 16S ribosomal RNA". It matches the Rfam family "Bacterial small subunit ribosomal RNA", at positions 524 to 776 of the family's 1533-position model. The record is from RNAcentral.